Molecule: transfer RNA, 73 nt
Filed under: Pteropus alecto (black flying fox)
Lineage: Eukaryota; Metazoa; Chordata; Mammalia; Chiroptera; Pteropodidae
Rfam family: tRNA
About the family: Transfer RNA (tRNA) molecules are approximately 80 nucleotides in length.
Source: Rfam by way of RNAcentral
GGUUCCAUAACAUAGCGGUUAGUACGUCAGUUUCACACGCAGAAGGUCCUGGGUUCAUGCCCCAGUGGAGCCA